UAGAGUUUUGAUCAUGGCUCAGGAUGAACGCUAGCGGGAGGCCUAACACAUGCAAGCCGAGCGGUAGAUUACUUUCGGGUAAUUGAGAGCGGCGUACGGGUGCGGAACACGUGUGCAACCUGCCUUUAUCAGGGGGAUAGCCUUUCGAAAGGAAGAUUAAUACCCCAUAAUAUAUUAUUCGGCAUCGGGUGAUAUUGAAAACUACGGUGGAUAGAGAUGGGCACGCGCAAGAUUAGCUAGUUGGUGAGGUAACGGCUCACCAAGGCGACGAUCUUUAGGGGGCCUGAGAGGGUGAUCCCCCACACUGGUACUGAGACACGGACCAGACUCCUACGGGAGGCAGCAGUGAGGAAUAUUGGACAAUGGGUGAAAGCCUGAUCCAGCCAUCCCGCGUGCAGGAAGACGGCCCUAUGGGUUGUAAACUGCUUUUAUCUGGGGAUAAACCUACUUACGUGUAAGUAGCUGAAGGUACCAGAAGAAUAAGCACCGGCUAACUCCGUGCCAGCAGCCGCGGUAAUACGGAGGGUGCAAGCGUUAUCCGGAUUUAUUGGGUUUAAAGGGUCCGUAGGCGGACUGAUAAGUCAGUGGUGAAAUCCGACAGCUUAACUGUCGAACUGCCAUUGAUACUGUUAGUCUUGAGUAAGGUUGAAGUGGCUGGAAUAAGUAGUGUAGCGGUGAAAUGCAUAGAUAUUACUUAGAACACCAAUUGCGAAGGCAGGUCACUAAGUCUUAACUGACGCUGAUGGACGAAAGC
Molecule: ribosomal RNA, 754 nt
Filed under: Elizabethkingia meningoseptica
Lineage: Bacteria; Pseudomonadati; Bacteroidota; Flavobacteriia; Flavobacteriales; Weeksellaceae
Description: bacterial SSU rRNA
Rfam family: Bacterial small subunit ribosomal RNA
Source: RNAcentral